GGCCGUGUAGCUAAACGAGGUAGAGCAACCGCGCGCACAAAACGGAUAGGGAAGAUCCCGGUUCGAAUCCGGGCACGGCCACCA
Molecule: transfer RNA, 84 nt
Filed under: Trueperella abortisuis
Lineage: Bacteria; Bacillati; Actinomycetota; Actinomycetes; Actinomycetales; Actinomycetaceae
Also listed under: 1 other name
Description: tRNA-Val
Rfam family: tRNA
About the family: Transfer RNA (tRNA) molecules are approximately 80 nucleotides in length. Their secondary structure includes four short double-helical elements and three loops (D, anti-codon, and T loops).
Source: RNAcentral